RNAcentral lists this long non-coding RNA (465 nucleotides) under Salvia miltiorrhiza (redroot sage). RNAcentral's name for it is "long non-coding RNA (SMIL_LNC000613)". Lineage: Eukaryota; Viridiplantae; Streptophyta; Magnoliopsida; Lamiales; Lamiaceae. The record is from RNAcentral.
CUAACUCUCGUUUUAUUCAGAUCAAUCCGUCGGCUUUGAAAUCCCUAUAAAUAGAUAAGAUGCACAAGUAAUAUAAUACAUAAUGUUAGAGGUGAUAUGGAAUGAAGUAUCCCAAUUGUUACACAUGAUACUAUUGCACUAACUCUAACUCAAAGAUUUUAUCAAUUUUAANGUUUUAUUCAGAUCAAUCCGUCGGCUUUGAAUCCCUAUAAUAGAUAAGAUGCACAAGUAAUAUAAUACAUAAUGUUAGAGGUGAUAUGGAAUGAAGUAUCCCAAUUGUUACACAUGAUACUAUUGCACUAACUCUAACUCAAAGAUUUUAUCAAUUUUAAGAUAAAAUCUGUACGAGGAAAAAUCCCAUGAAAUUUGUUCAAGGAAUAGUAGAAGUCCUAAGCAGGGAAGGAGAUGAGUUGAAGAUUUCCUGUCCAAGCUCAUUUAUUUUAUCAAUCAGCAUUAUUUGCUCUG